UACGAAGGGGGCUAGCGUUGCUCGGAAUUACUGGGCGUAAAGAGCGCGCAGGCGGUCGUUCAAGUCGCGUGUGAAAGCCCCCGGCUCAACUGGGGAGGGUCACGCGAUACUGAUCGACUCGAAGGCAGGAGAGGGUAGUGGAAUUCCCGGUGUAGUGGUGAAAUUCGUAGAUAUCGAGAGGAACACCGGCGGCGAAGGCGGCCAUCUGGACGAGGACUGACGCUGAGAUGCGAAAGCGUGGGGAGCAAACAGG
RNAcentral lists this ribosomal RNA (253 nucleotides) under uncultured bacterium. RNAcentral describes it as "partial 16S ribosomal RNA". It matches the Rfam family "Bacterial small subunit ribosomal RNA", at positions 524 to 776 of the family's 1533-position model. The record is from RNAcentral.